AGAGUUUGAUUCUGGCUCAGGAUGAACGCUAGCGGCAGGCCUAAUACAUGCAAGUCGAAUGGUAAAUAUUGUAGCAAUACGAUAUGAGAGUGACGUAAGGGUGCGUAACAAGUAUGCAAUCUGCCCUCAACUGGAGGAUAGCUCCCCGAAAGGGGAAUUAACACUCCAUAAUAUGUGUGAGCCGGCAUCGGCUAGACAUUAAAACUCCGGUGGUUGAGGAUGAGCAUGCUUCUGAUUAGCUAUUUGGUGGUGUAAAGGACCACCAAGGCGAUGAUCAGUAGGGGAACUGAGAGGUUGAUCCCCCACACUGGCACUGAGAUACGGGCCAGACUCCUACGGGAGGCAGCAGUAGGGAAUAUUGGUCAAUGGAUGCAAGUCUGAACCAGCCAUGCCGCGUGCAGGAAGAAGGCCUUCUGGGUUGUAAACUGCUUUUAUCUGGGGAUAAAAAGGGGGUGCGCCCCCAACUGAAGGUACCAGAUGAAUAAGCCACGGCUAACUACGUGCCAGCAGCCGCGGUAAUACGUAGGUGGCAAGCGUUGUCCGGAUUUAUUGGGUUUAAAGGGUGCGUAGGCGGUCUAUUAAGUCAGUGCUGAAAUAUCCCGGCUUAACCGGGAGGGUGGCAUUGAUACUGAUGGACUUGAGUGCAGUCGAGGUAGGCGGAAUUGACGGUGUAGCGGUGAAAUGCUUAGAUAUCGUCAAGAACACCGAUAGUGAAGACAGCUUACUAGACUGUAACUGACGCUGAGGCACGAAAGUGUGGGGAUCAAACAGGAUUAGAUACCCUGGUAGUCCACACCGUAAACGUUGAUUACUCGAUGUGUGCGAUAUACAGUACGCGUCUUAGCGCAAGCGAUAAGUAAUCCACCUGGGGAGUACGCCGGCAACGGUGAAACUCAAAGGAAUUGACGG
Molecule: ribosomal RNA, 909 nt
Filed under: uncultured bacterium
Lineage: Bacteria
Description: bacterial SSU rRNA
Rfam family: Bacterial small subunit ribosomal RNA
Source: RNAcentral